RNAcentral lists this ribosomal RNA (497 nucleotides) under uncultured bacterium. RNAcentral describes it as "partial 16S ribosomal RNA". It matches the Rfam family "Bacterial small subunit ribosomal RNA", at positions 28 to 507 of the family's 1533-position model. The record is from RNAcentral.
GAUGAACGCUGGCGGCGUGCCUAAUACAUGCAAGUCGAGCGAACAGAUGAGGACCUUGCGCCUCUGACGUUAGCGGCGGACGGGUGAGUAACACGUGGAUAACCUACCUAUAAGACUGGGAUAACUUCGGGAAACCGGAGCUAAUACCGGAUAAUAUAUUGAACCGCAUGGUUCAAUAGUGAAAGAUGGUUUUGCUGUUACUUAUAGAUGGAUCCGCGCCGCAUUAGCUAGUUGGUAAGGUAACGGCUUACCAAGGGAACGAUGCGUAGCCGACCGGAGAGGGGGGUCGGCCACACUGGAACGGAGACAGGGUCCAGGCGCCUACGGGAGGCAGCAGUAGGGAAUCUGACGCAAUGGGCGAAAGCCUGACGGAGCAGCGCCGAGUGAGUUGUGGAGGUCCUCGGAUCGUAAAACUCUGUUAUUGGUGAAGAACAAAUGUGUAAGUAACUAUGCACGUCUUGACGGUACCUAAUGAGAAAGCCCCGGCUAACUACGUG